Elaeis guineensis (African oil palm) is the source of this 1130-nucleotide non-coding RNA. The record is from RefSeq and is a predicted model, not a curated record. NCBI's taxonomy places the organism in Eukaryota, Viridiplantae, Streptophyta, Magnoliopsida, Arecales, Arecaceae.
UUUCAAUGCCCAAAAUCAAAGGUUUUAUCAUGGAAAAUCAAGGGAGAAUAAGGGAGGGACGGCAUGCAUGUUUUUGGUGCAAGGUCAUGCGUUUAUGCCAGCCAGCCACGCUCCCGCGCCAUACCUCGCCAAACCUCCCAGUUACAUUCCCACAAUUCACGCUGAACCACGCCUUUUUUCUUUUUCUUUUUUUUCAAUGAGCCAUUGGGAAAGACUCAAGAGCCAUGCACUCACAUGGCCUCCAAAGACCGCUUGAAGCCUUCGUUUCCCACCUUUAAAACAACACAAGACCCCCGUGAGCCCACACGUGAAGACCCUUCAUAUUUAAAUUACCAGCACACAUGAAGGCCCACAUUUAAGCCAUGCUUCUCUUUUUAAAUCCCUGUGCACCCUUCACACGUUUGAAUGAAACUCCUCUCCCACACUCUCUUUCAAAAGCCACAGAUCCCAUCUUCAAUAAAUACUCAUGCUCUUUUUUUUUUAAUAUUUCUUUUUAUUUGAUAAAUUUCUGAUGUUAGUAUAUUUUUUAUAUGUCAUAUAUAUAAUAGAUCUAAAUUUGAAUAUAAGCUUCAUCUGCACGUGUACCGUUGCUUAUUGAUUUACGAUAAUUUCUCAUAAUUAAUUAUUUUUUUAAAAAAUAAAAAUAUAUUAAAUAUAAAAUAAUAUAAUUUAAAUAUGAAAAAUUUUAAUAUUUUUUAUGUUACAUUUGAUGUAUUGAUCAGAUAGUUUUUAAAGGAUAAAAUCGUAAGACUCUAAAUGGCCAAAGCCCAUUGAAGUCUAAAGAUGGUUAAAGCCAAAGCAAACAAUACCUCAGAAUCAAAGUGGAUAAUACCUCAUACAUGCGGAUGCAGAGUCAACUCAAUCAUCUGAGCCAUCCAUUUAUAUACUAUGUAUGAGUGAAUAUCAUGUUCGAAAAUCUGUGUCAAUUUAUGUAUAAAAAUGUAAUGAGUUGUUGCUGAAUGUAUAUAAGAAAAGCCUACACUAUAUAUCAGUAAGUCAUCAAGUAUAUAUAUUUGGCUAUGUACCAUAUAUACUAUUGAGUAUUAUGUUCUAGAAGCUACGCAUCGAUUUAUCUAGAUAUGUGUAUUGAGACAUUGGAUGAAUAUUUUAUUAGAUUUAUAUCAAUUGGA